GAUGAACGCUGGCGGCGUGCCUAAUACAUGCAAGUCGAACGCAUAGCGAAAGGUGCUUGCACCUUUCAAGUGAGUGGCGAACGGGUGAGUAACACGUGGACAACCUGCCUCAAGGCUGGGGAUAACAUUUGGAAACAGAUGCUAAUACCGAAUAAAACUUAGUGUCGCAUGACACAAAGUUAAAAGGCGCUUCGGCGUCACCUAGAGAUGGAUCCGCGGUGCAUUAGUUAGUUGGUGAGGUAAAGGCCUACCAAGACAAUGAUGCAUAGCCGAGUUGAGAGACUGAUCGGCCACAUUGGGACUGAGACACGGCCCAAACUCCUACGGGAGGCUGCAGUAGGGAAUCUUCCACAAAGGGCGAAAGCCUGAUGGAGCAACGCCGCGUGUGUGAUGAAGGCUUUCGGGUCGUAAAGCACUGUUGUAUGGGAAGAACAGCUAGAAUAGGAAAUGAUUUUAGUUUGACGGUACCAUACCAGAAAGGGACGGCUAAAUACGUG
RNAcentral lists this ribosomal RNA (497 nucleotides) under uncultured bacterium. RNAcentral describes it as "partial 16S ribosomal RNA". It matches the Rfam family "Bacterial small subunit ribosomal RNA", at positions 28 to 507 of the family's 1533-position model. The record is from RNAcentral.